RNAcentral lists this ribosomal RNA (498 nucleotides) under uncultured bacterium. Its description in RNAcentral is "partial 16S ribosomal RNA". It matches the Rfam family "Bacterial small subunit ribosomal RNA", at positions 28 to 507 of the family's 1533-position model. The record is from RNAcentral.
GACGAACGCUGGCGGCAUGCCUAAUACAUGCAAGUUGAACGAUGAUAUUCUCUGCUUGCAGAGAAUUGAAGAGUAGCGAACGGGUGAGUAACACGUGGGGAACCUGCCCAUGAGAGGGGGAUAACAUUCGGAAACGGAUGCUAAUACCGCAUAAUGCUUUGGACCGCCUGGUCCAGAGACGAAAGACGGCUUUUGCUAUCACUCAUGGAUGGCCCCGCGCCGUAUUAGCUAGUUGGUGAGGUAAUGGCUCACCAAAGCUGUGAUACGUAGCCGACCUGAGAGGGUGAUCGGCCACACUGGGACUGAGACACGGCCCAGACUCCUACAGGAGGCAGCAGUAGGGAAUCUUCCACAAUGGGCGAAAGCCUGAUGGAGCAAUGCCGCGUGAAUGAAGAAGGUCUUCGGAUCGUAAAGUUCUGUUAUUAGAGAAGAACAAGUCAAGGAGUAACUGUCUUGACUUUGACGGUACCUAACCAGAAAGUCACGGCUAACUACGUG